UACGAAGGGGGCUAGCGUUGUUCGGAAUUACUGGGCGUAAAGCGCGUGUAGGCGGCCUGCUAAGUCUGAUGUGAAAGCCCGGGGCUCACCCCCGGAAGUGCAUUGGAAACUGGUAGGCUCGAGUCCCGGAGAGGAGGGUGGAAUUCCUGGUGUAGCGGUGAAAUGCGUAGAUAUCAGGAGGAACACCGGUGGCGAAGGCGGCCCUCUGGACGGUGACUGACGCUGAGACGCGAAAGCGUGGGGAGCAAACAGG
Molecule: ribosomal RNA, 253 nt
Filed under: uncultured bacterium
Lineage: Bacteria
Description: partial 16S ribosomal RNA
Rfam family: Bacterial small subunit ribosomal RNA
Source: RNAcentral